This is a long non-coding RNA of Lates calcarifer (barramundi perch), 2229 nucleotides long. RefSeq lists it as uncharacterized. NCBI's taxonomy places the organism in Eukaryota, Metazoa, Chordata, Actinopteri, Centropomidae. The transcript is spliced from 3 exons. The record is from RefSeq and is a predicted model, not a curated record.
CUCUGCUGUCUGUGGGAGGUUGGAGAACAGAUCUGUUUUUCUCUUUUUCUCUACACACUUUAGGGGCCUGAGCACCAGACUGGGAUGUUGGUUGUUGCCUGAGGGAUGGACUGAUGACAGCAUUGUUCAACCAAGGCCUGAAGAGGAAGAAAAGAUCUCUGCCCUCACUCAGCUCACCUAAAAUACUAUCUGAAGGUUCCAGUUCAAGCCACUAGCUUCUGCUCAAAUUGUUUCUGCAACCUCAAAUGCUACUGCAACUUUAGAUACAACCAUCGAGGCUCAGAGACUGUGAAGCAGCUUCCCUCAUAGUGUUAUGUCAGCAGAAUGGGCUGCGGUCCAGAUGACCUACAUCCAAAUGAUGCCAAACCAGGAUCUGAUUAAGUCAGAAUCAAGACCAAAUGGACGUGGAAGGAUUUACACAUUACUUCCUUACACUCAAUGUCAUCUUCCUUCUGCUGACAAAUCUAUCAAGAGCUGGUCUAAAGGUGUUAAUGCUGCUAUUUCUUGGAGUUAAGUUUAUCAACUACAGCUUCUGUCUUUAUCUGCCUGUUCCAAUGCUUUUGCUGUCUUUUUGUUUCUUUCUGUAGAACUAAGCUAUCAGUUUUCUCGACAGCUUUUGUUUGGACACAGGGAUAGAAACCCUUUUCACGCUCAGAAAUCAGCACUGUGCCUAAUAGUUUCCAGAAUCUGGCAACAGAAAUGUUUAACUUUCAAACAAAGUAGCCAAGACUGAACCUCUGUAUUUGAAUCAAAAAUUCAGACAAUAACCAAGACAAUCAGUCAAUAGAUUAAUAUUCACUUUAUCGAGAAACCUGAGAGAACAUGUAACUACAUCAAUUCACUGAGUGCGUCAUUCCUAGAUGACUCAUAAUAACCUGAGCUAUAUAAGGUUCAUAAGACUAACCACUGCAGUACUGAGUAAGGGUUUUGUGAUCACCUCCAUGGUCUAGUGUAAAUCAACAGAGAUGCUUAGUCAGUCAGCCACAUACUUACAAGUCACUGAUAACUACACCCAAGCCUUCAUUUAUAAAGCUUAAUGAUGUGAUCCAAAGUAGAUAUAUUGGAAAAAUUGUGACAUUACACAGUGAAUUUGGCCCCACAACAGCAGGAAAACAAAAAUGUAAAAACUUGGGUAGAGGAAGUUAAACAUAUUCAUCUGACCUGAACAAAUACAAGAUAAAAAAGAAGAAAAUAAUGGGUCCUGCUUUUGAUAGUAGAAGAGAAAUGGUUCAACUUUAAAGUCAAAUAAAACAGUGGGUGUCUUUUGAUUUUUUCCAAAAAAUAUCUUUUGUUUUGGGAUGAACUUGUUUAAAUGAAGUUGGUUGUGGGUUUGUGUUCUAUACGACUCAACAUGUUCUGAUUCCCAACAGCGUCAUGUAUAAAUCUGUUUAAGUUGUAGUCCACCCUGUUUAUGAUUCUCUGUUGGUAAUACAAUCACCUAACAAGUUUUGCCUUCUUACAUAUUACUGAUCUCACAUCGUUAUCGUCUUUGUCAUUCUCGUCGUCACCCUUUUCCUCAUUAUCAACCACAACAUACUCAUCAUAACAACAUUCACUAAGAGUCACAUCAUCGGCCAACUCAUCUUAUUCAUUAUCCCUAAUACCGACUGCAUUCGUGCCAUUCCAUGGAACAUUAUCUUUGAAUAAUUACCAUGUGUACAGCAGAUGGAGAACAACACGAGUGGGUUGUGUGUUUGCAUGUGUGCUCUGUUCCUGUGGGUGUGGCAUUAUAGGCAUAUGCGAGCAUGUGCAAGUGUACAUUGUGUGUAUGUGCAUGCAUACAUGAUCAAGUAUAACUGCUAGUUCACAUAAUCACUCCAGGCUGAAGAUGUCAUAAUAUACGCUGUGUUUGUCAACAUGUUGCUCAUUAAUUAAGAUCUAAGGCAGAUAAUUCCCUGAGGAUAUGGUUUUAUAAUUCCUCUGUAGGAUGAAAACCAUCACUAUAGCACAACAAAACAAAGACUGAUGUCUGGAUCCUUUACAACUUGGGCCAAAGCCAUCUUGUUUUGUUGAUUGUUUUGUUUGUUUAUGCAGUUUUGAACAUCUUGUAUUCAUUCAUUCAUUCCUUUACCCAUUCAUCUGUUUACAUUAAGACUGAUUAAUUGCCUCAUUCUUUCAUUUACCUAUUGCAUUUCUUUGCAUGUAAAGUUGUCUUGUAUUCAUUUGCUCAUUUAUUUAUUCACUAAUUGUUCUGCUGAUACCCCAUCCAUACAUUUAGCAUAUACACCA